AACGAACGCUGGCGGCAGGCCUAACACAUGCAAGUCGAGCGAGGUAGCAAUACCUAGCGGCGGACGGGUGAGUAACGCGUGGGAACGUACCCUUUGCUACGGAAUAGCCCCGGGAAACUGGGAGUAAUACCGUAUGUGCCCUUCGGGGGAAAGAUUUAUCGGCAAAGGAUCGGCCCGCGUUGGAUUAGGUAGUUGGUGGGGUAAUGGCCUACCAAGCCGACGAUCCAUAGCUGGUUUGAGAGGAUGAUCAGCCACACUGGGACUGAGACACGGCCCAGACUCCUACGGGAGGCAGCAGUGGGGAAUCUUAGACAAUGGGCGCAAGCCUGAUCUAGCCAUGCCGCGUGAGUGAUGAAGGCCUUAGGGUUGUAAAGCUCUUUCAGAUGGGAGGAUAAUGACGGUACCAUCAGAAGAAGCCCCGGCUAACUCCGUG
This 433-nucleotide ribosomal RNA is filed under the name uncultured bacterium. RNAcentral describes it as "bacterial SSU rRNA". It matches the Rfam family "Bacterial small subunit ribosomal RNA", at positions 29 to 507 of the family's 1533-position model. The record is from RNAcentral.